This 371-nucleotide ribosomal RNA is filed under the name uncultured bacterium. RNAcentral's name for it is "bacterial SSU rRNA". It matches the Rfam family "Bacterial small subunit ribosomal RNA", at positions 527 to 896 of the family's 1533-position model. The record is from RNAcentral.
GUAGGGGGCAAGCGUUGUCCGGAUUUAUUGGGCGUAAAGAGCGUGUAGGCGGCUGGGUAGGUCCGUUGUGAAAACUCGAGGCUCAACCUCGAGACGCCGAUGGAAACCCUCCAGCUAGAGUCCGGAAGAGGAGAGUGGAAUUCCUGGUGUAGCGGUGAAAUGCGCAGAUAUCAGGAAGAACACCCGUGGCUAAGGCGGCUCUCUAGUACGGUACUGACGCUGAGACGCGAAAGCGUGGGGAGCGAACAGGAUUAGAUACCCUGGUAGUCCACGCCGUAAACGAUGGGUGCUAGGUGUAGGGGGUGUCGACUCCCUCUGUGCCGAAGCUAACGCAUUAAGCACCCCGCCUGGGGAGUACGGCCGCAAGGCUA